This 466-nucleotide ribosomal RNA is filed under the name uncultured bacterium. Its description in RNAcentral is "bacterial SSU rRNA". It matches the Rfam family "Bacterial small subunit ribosomal RNA", at positions 329 to 792 of the family's 1533-position model. The record is from RNAcentral.
UCCCAGACUCCUACGGGAGGCAGCAGUGAGGAAUAUUGGUCAAUGGGCUAACGCCUGAACCAGCCAAGUCGCGUGAGGGAAGACUGCCCUAUGGGUUGUAAACCUCUUUUGUCAGGGAGCAAUUGGCGCUACGUGUAGCGUUAUCGAGAGUACCUGAAGAAAAAGCAUCGGCUAACUCCGUGCCAGCAGCCGCGGUAAUACGGAGGAUGCGAGCGUUAUCCGGAUUUAUUGGGUUUAAAGGGUGCGUAGGCGGAAUGCCAAGUCAGCGGUAAAAUCGCGGGGCUCAACCCCGGCCGGCCGUUGAAACUGGCGUGCUCGAGUUGGAGAGAAGUAUGCGGAAUUCGUGGUGUAGCGGUGAAAUGCAUAGAUAUCACGAAGAACCCCGAUUGCGAAGGCAGCAUACCGGCUCCACACUGACGCUGAGGCACGAAAGCGUGGGUAUCGAACAGGAUUAGAUACCCGAGUA